RNAcentral lists this transfer RNA (92 nucleotides) under Streptomyces finlayi. Its description in RNAcentral is "tRNA-Asn". Lineage: Bacteria; Bacillati; Actinomycetota; Actinomycetes; Kitasatosporales; Streptomycetaceae. The record is from RNAcentral. RNAcentral also lists the same sequence under 1 other name.
CCUGACCUUGGCCGCGGCCGGGCCCUCGCCCCCGUUGAGGGAGCGAGGGAGUCCGACGACGACUUCGAGGGGUUCGUACUCCUCGACCAGUU